Molecule: ribosomal RNA, 269 nt
Filed under: uncultured prokaryote
Description: partial 16S ribosomal RNA
Rfam family: Bacterial small subunit ribosomal RNA
Source: RNAcentral
UACGUAGGGGGCAAGCGUUAUCCGGAUUUACUGGGUGUAAAGGGAGCGCAGACGGAACUGCAAGUCUGAUGUGAAAGCCCGGGGCUCAACCGCGGGACUGCAUCGGAUACUGUGGAUCUGGAGUGCCGGAGGGGCAAGCGGAAUUCCUGGUGUAGCGGUGAAAUGCGUAGAUAUCAGGAGGAACACCGGCGGCGAAGGCGGCUUGCUGGACGGAAACUGACGUUGAGGCUCGAAAGCGUGGGGAGCAAACAGGAUUAGAUACCCCUGUA